GUGGGGAAUAUUGGACAAUGGGCGAAAGCCUGAUCCAGCCAUGCCGCGUGAGUGAUGAAGGCCUUAGGGUUGUAAAGCUCUUUCAGUAGGGAAGAUAAUGACGGUACCUACAGAAGAAGCCCCGGCUAACUUCGUGCCAGCAGCCGCGGUAAUACGAAGGGGGCUAGCGUUGUUCGGAUUUACUGGGCGUAAAGCGCACGUAGGCGGAUUGGUCAGUUAGAGGUGAAAUCCUGGAGCUCAACUCCAGAACUGCCUUUAAUACUGCCAGUCUAGAGUCCAGAAGAGGUGAGUGGAACUCCUAGUGUAGAGGUGGAAUUCGUAGAUAUUAGGAAGAACACCAGUGGCGAAGGCGGCUUCCUGGACAGUAACUGACGCUGAGACGCGAAAGCGUGGGGAGCAAACAGGAUUAGAAACCCGUGUAGUCC
RNAcentral lists this ribosomal RNA (425 nucleotides) under uncultured bacterium. RNAcentral describes it as "partial 16S ribosomal RNA". It matches the Rfam family "Bacterial small subunit ribosomal RNA", at positions 354 to 796 of the family's 1533-position model. The record is from RNAcentral.